UAGGUGAACCUGUGGAAGGAUCAUUAU
This 27-nucleotide ribosomal RNA is filed under the name Dactylogyrus vastator. RNAcentral's name for it is "partial 18S ribosomal RNA". The record is from RNAcentral. Lineage: Eukaryota; Metazoa; Platyhelminthes; Monogenea; Dactylogyridea; Dactylogyridae.